This 438-nucleotide ribosomal RNA is filed under the name uncultured bacterium. RNAcentral describes it as "partial 16S ribosomal RNA". It matches the Rfam family "Bacterial small subunit ribosomal RNA", at positions 339 to 795 of the family's 1533-position model. The record is from RNAcentral.
CUACGGGGGCUCCAGUGAGGAAUAUUGCACAAUGGAGGAAACUCUGAUGCAGCAACGCCGCGUGGAGGAUGACGCAUUUCGGUGUGUAAACUCCUUUUAUAUGUCAAGAAAAUGACGGUAGCAUAUGAAUAAGCUCCGGCUAACUCCGUGCCAGCAGCCGCGGUAAUACGGAGGGAGCAAGCGUUACUCGGAAUCACUGGGCGUAAAGGACGCGUAGGCGGGAUAGAAAGUCAGGUGUGAAAUCCUAUGGCUCAACCAUAGAACUGCACUUGAAACUUCUAACCUAGAGUAUGGGAGGGGAAGAUGGAAUUAGUGGUGUAGGGGUAAAAUCCGUAGAUAUCACUAGGAAUACCAAAAGCGAAGGCGAUCUUCUGGAACAAUACUGACGCUAAGGCGUGAAAGCGUGGGGAGCAAACAGGAUUAGAUACCCCAGUAGUC